RNAcentral lists this long non-coding RNA (474 nucleotides) under Setaria italica (foxtail millet). Its description in RNAcentral is "long non-coding RNA (SITA_LNC003177)". The record is from RNAcentral. Lineage: Eukaryota; Viridiplantae; Streptophyta; Magnoliopsida; Poales; Poaceae.
GCCCCGCGCGCCGGCCCCAUCUGCGCCUCCAUCUCCUCCACCCCCUCCAACCCGCCCUACGACCUCACGUCCUUCCGGUUCAGCCCCAUCAAGGAGUCCAUCGUCUCCCGCGAGAUGACCCGCCGGUACAUGACCGACAUGAUCACCUACGCCGACACCGACGUCGUCAUCGUCGGCGCCGGCUCCGCGGGGCUCUCCUGCGCGUACGAGCUCUCCAAGGACCCCUCCAUCAGCAUCGCCAUCGUCGAGCAGUCCGUCUCCCCCGGCGGCGGCGCCUGGCUCGGCGGCCAGCUCUUCUCCGCCAUGGUGGUGCGCAAGCCGGCGCACCUCUUCCUCGACGAGCUCGGCAUCGCGUACGACGAGGCCGAGGACUACGUGGUCAUCAAGCACGCCGCGCUCUUCACCUCCACCGUCAUGAGCCGCCUCCUCGCGCGCCCCAACGUGAAGCUCUUCAACGCUGUCGCCGUCGAGGAC